GACAGCCACACACUGGGCAAGGACAUAGCUGUUUUAUUUUCAUCUUCAUUCUAACGUAGGAAUCAUUAAAAUGUGAGACUGGCCCAAAGCCAGGUUUGCGCCUUCCUGGACUCUGCGCCAUUGGCUGUGUGUCUCCCCGAGGGAGAAUUCAGCCAGGGCUGGAGGAGUAGCCUGUCUGGCUGUUUUCCCUGUGCCGGAUGGAAAGGCUUGGGGAGCCUGCGGCUGGACAAGCCCCUCACUCCACCGUGAGUCUCUUUGGGGGCCUCUGCCUGCCUAGUCUCUUUUUCUAAAUCCUCCCCUUGAGGCGGUGGUCCACCCGUCCCAUCCACUGGCUUUUCUUAGUUCUUUUUUUCUUUGCUUAUUUAGGGCCGAACCCAUGGCACAUGGAGGUUCUCAGGCUAGGGGUCGAAUCAGAGCCUCAGCAGUCAGCCUCUGCCACAGUCACAGCAAGGCUGGAUCCGAGCCACAUCGGUGAUCUACACCACAGCUCUACGGCAAUGCUGGAUCCUUAACCCACUGAGUGAGGCCAGGGGUCGAACCUGCAUCCUCAUGGAUACUAGUUGGGUUCUUAACCUGCUGAGACACAAUGGGAACUCCCACUGGGUUGUCUAAUUCCAGUCCUGCUGGGAAGUGGGCCUGGACAGCAAACUGGCAUCCUCAGAGAGACAAAAUCCCUUUCAGCUCCUCAUCUGGUCCCUGGCCCGACUCAGGGCUGGGUUCGCUCCUUCUCCCCCUAAGCCUACCGGGCCGCCUACCCCUUAGUUCUGAUGAGCGUCUGGUCCCCCUUCUGGGUCUGGGUGGCGCUUUCUGAACACCUGGCAGUGUCUGUCUCUUCCCUCCUCCCUCCCUCCUGGCUCCCACCCAGGCCUUUGCUGCUUCUUUCAUGUUUGGAAGACUCCAUGCUUUCCAGGCGUGGGCUCGGCUUUGGUUUCAUCCUGAAAGUCAGAACCUUCCUCUGUGUGAAGACGGCAUCCUCCAGGCCAAGUGCAGAGCAGGCUGGCGGCUGGCGGCUGGCUGCUGUCGAGGAAGCGGGGCGAAAAAGCCCUGAGAAUCACAUAAAAACAGCUUCCCCUAGAAUCAGAUAAAAACAGCUUCAGGCGAGGGAAGUAAUGUCCCUGCCAGCCCACAGCCCGUCACCCCAAACAGCUCCCCCCAGUUUGCCUGACUCUCUGCAGCAAUGACAGGUGUCAGGUGGCUGCCCCCACAGGGAGAGAGGUGGAUCUUACUUUCCUGGCGUGGCCGGGGGUGGCUGCUGAGGGGGUGAGCAGAGACAGAAAUUUAUGUCUCGUGUUUAGUGACACCCCAGACACAGGUGGGGUUUUCUUGAGUGACAAGUGUCACCGUGCGUCCCAGCGUGGGAUGGCUUCACGUGGGUGUUUGUGCGCUUGGAAGUUCACCUCCCCUCCUCCGCCCCCUGCCCCGGAUUCUCCCCUCACCUGCCGCUGCCCCUCCCAACCUCAGGAGGAAGAUGCUUUCCAGGUAACUGAAGCACGGAGGGACCCCAAGGGGCCCCUGCCUGUCUUCUGAACAGCGCGCCUGUGAGGAUUGCCAGGUGGGAGGAUCAGCUCAAAAGAGCUUCCCUCUAAGGGAGACCAUGGCCUCGGGGUUAUUGUCUUGGUUAGAUAAGGAACGGGGGCUGGUGUACUGGUCGUCUGAGCUGGCCGCUCAGGCUGUUGGAAGGCCAGGGUUAACUGACUGAGUACCAGCCAGCUGAAGGGUUCUCAGGCCAGUAAGUGCCCGGAUAACACACAGCCCUUUGGUGAGACCUGGGCUUGUCUCACUGGUGCAGCACAAGGGUGAUGGUCCAGGAAUCCCAGGGUCCACGUCCAGGCUUUCAUCAGUUACAGGUGUUCAGGGCAGGGAUUGCAGGCACAGAGAACUUGACAGUGAAUGAGAUGCUCCCGGGACCUAAUCAUGCCUCUUGAAUCAGGGUGGCAUUCCCUUGGGCCAGAGCAGGAUCCUGGAGCAAGGAGGAGCCACCUGGUGGCUGGGGAGUGCCCUGUGGGCAGUGGAGACGGUUGACCUGGAUCUUCAGAUCUGAGUCCGAGCCAAGACUUGGGGCCAGGAAGGCACAGGGUCCCCGUGGCAGAUGGCUCCUGGCUCUGGUCUGGUACCCCUCCUGCUGGGGGCAGGAGACACCCCGCUGUGGCCCUCCCCUGGCCCCCACCUGAAAGUGGCCUUGGCCUUGGCGUCAGCUUCUGGCUGCACUUGACAGAAGGGAAGGAAGGGGCACAGGGCCCUCCCUCUGCUGCCCUGGACCCAUGUGUCAGCCCCAAUGACAAGAACAGCCUCCCCUGUGCUGGGCCCUUGCUAGGCACUGUGCUGCCUUUUUUUUUUUUUUUUUUUUUUUUUUUUUGGCUUUUUAGGGCCGCAUAUGGAAGUUCCCAGGAUGGGGGUCGAAUCAGAGCUGCAGCUGCCGGCCUACACCACAGCCACAGCAAUGCAGGAUCUGAGCCUUAUCUGCAACCCACACUACAGCUGACAGCAAUGCCAGAUCCUUAGCCCACUGAGCGAGGCCAAGGAUUGACCCACGUUCUCAUGGAUCCUAGUUGGGUUCAUUAACCGAUGAGCCACAACAGGAACUCUUGUGCUGCAUUUUAUGUCCUGUAACCCUUAGAAUGGUCUGGGGAGCGGGUGGUGUCAAUGUGCCGAGUUUUUAGAUGUCAGAACUGAGGCCCCAAGAGAGGAAGCCACGGGCCCCCAAACAUAUGCUCCAGAGGAAGGAGGAUGGCUGUGGCAGAGACAGGGUUUUCUGAGGGGGCCUGGCCCCCUCAAAUGUAGUAGGGUGCCACUCUGCUGUCACCAUCCUGAGUAGCCCGCAAACCCUCACUCCCUGGUGGAAGGCAGGCCCGAAGGGGACUCGUGCUGCCGUGAGAGAAUGGUGGCUGCAGCUGGAGCUGGUACUGGGGACUGCCUGGUCCAACACGCAGGACCGCCCCGGGGUACCCGUCCCUGACCCACCGUGACUCAGAGACACUGCGAUGAUGCCACCAGGGCUGAGGAGCCUCGGCAACGACACUAACAGGAAGUACAGAAAGAAAGCCAGCUACACACUAACAUCUUCUCCUGGAGGAACAGGACUGAGAUCUCAGAAAAGCAAAACACAGACCCCAAACAGCAAGCCUGGGGCUUCAGAAGGAGGUGCUGACUCCACCCACCGGACCAGGAGGAUGCCUUCCAGAGGCCUUCCAAGGAGGAAAGCAAGGAGCUGGCUGAUCCUUCGGGGCCACCUUGGCUCUUUAAAUUAAAGACGUGCCUCAGUUUAACCAUCCAUAGCUUGGGAACAAGGGGCCUGGGCAGCCAUCAUUGUUUUCAUUUCUUUCAGAGCAAAGGGCUUGGAGUGAGUCUCCUCCGGCAAGGGACAGGGAGUAGCAGAGGCUGUUCUGUCCUGUUGCAGGUCCCAGGGGCUCAAGGGGCAGGGCUCUUUCCAGUAAAACAGGAACACUUGUCCCCCGAGUCCACUCUGCCUUCCUGAGCCUAUCACAGAGCAGGGAGGUUGAUGACAGAGUCCUGCCUGUGUGUGUCCUGAUUUCUGGUACAAGUUGUCACUGGCUGUGGAACCUCUGUUCCCAAGCCCUCCCAAAUGCCAGCCAUGCCGGCCACCCCCGCCCCCACACUUUCACCCUAGAGUGGGCAGAAGCACAGACAACCACACACGUGUGGACACCUAAGUGGGUGGAGCAGGUCCCGGGCGAGCCGUCUCCCUCUGGCGGGGGCCUGGCUGGAGGCACUUUUGUCCUCAGUGUCCCCACCCCAGGGCCCUGGUGUGCACACUGUCUCCUCUCUUGGACCUCUUCCUCUAGGGGUCCACAGGCUCAGCACCCCCACAUCCCCACACCCGGCUGUGCUCAUCCCCCCACCCGCCCCCGCUUGGCUUUUUGUAGGAGUGAGUGGAGGGUCUGCCCAGAGAAGAGGGGACAAUGGUCCCUUUCUGGACUCUCAUGGGGCUGCCGACAGUCCUCUCUCCUGAGAUCCUCUUCUGCUCCCUCAUCCCUCCCACCAACCCCAG
RNAcentral lists this long non-coding RNA (4009 nucleotides) under Sus scrofa (pig). RNAcentral's name for it is "lncRNA (ENSSSCG00025031070.1)". Lineage: Eukaryota; Metazoa; Chordata; Mammalia; Artiodactyla; Suidae. The record is from RNAcentral.